This 305-nucleotide long non-coding RNA is filed under the name Gossypium barbadense (sea-island cotton). Its description in RNAcentral is "long non-coding RNA (GBAR_LNC012063)". The record is from RNAcentral. Lineage: Eukaryota; Viridiplantae; Streptophyta; Magnoliopsida; Malvales; Malvaceae.
AAGAAGAACCGACAUUAACAAAACAGGAAUCAAGAGCAAUAUCAACGGCGGUGGCGGCAAUUCCAGUAGCAACAACGGGGAAACUAAGAGCAAGGUGGUUAGCAUAAGCAUAAAAAUGAAUGAGUUAUUGCAAAAAUACCUCAACAUAAUAAUCUGGAUACGAGGAUAUGAUACUGUAGGAACGGGAUAAUCUAAUACUAUACUAAUACGGGAUUUUGUGAGGAAGAAAUUUCCAAGAAAAUUUUGGGAGAAGAUAAUGGAAAAUUGUAGACUUAGGUAAGAUGGAAGGGCCAAUCCUUCUUUUU